Molecule: ribosomal RNA, 460 nt
Filed under: uncultured bacterium
Lineage: Bacteria
Description: partial 16S ribosomal RNA
Rfam family: Bacterial small subunit ribosomal RNA
Source: RNAcentral
CCUACGGGAGGCAGCAGUGAGGAAUAUUGGUCAAUGGGCGGAAGCCUGAACCAGCCAAGCCGCGUGCAGGAUGACGGCCCUACGGGUUGUAAACUGCUUUUAUACGGGAAUAACGCGCCUUACGUGUAGGGCUUUGCAUGUACCGCAUGAAUAAGGACCGGCAAAUUCCGUGCCAGCAGCCGCGGUAAUACGGAAGGUCCGGGCGUUAUCCGGAUUUAUUGGGUUUAGAGGGAGCGUAGGCCGCAUGUCAAGCGUGCUGUGAAAUGUCCGGGCUCAACCCGGGCCUUGCAGUGCGAACUGGAGUGCUUGAGGCCGCGGAAGGCAGGCGGAAUUCGUCGUGUAGCGGUGAAAUGCUUAGAUAUGACGAAGAACCCCGAUUGCGAAGGCAGCUUGCUGGAGCGGAACUGACGCUGAGGCUCGAAAGCGCGGGUAUCGAACAGGAUUAGAUACCCGAGUAGUC